CAUUAUUGUACAACUGAGGUGCAAAGGCUGUCGCUGACCCUCUAAAGGUCGUGCACGCCCGAGCGCUCUCACACAAUCCAUCUCACCUUUGUGCAUCACCGCGUGGGUCCCCUUUGCGGGAGGGCUUGCGUUUUCACAUAAAACUCGAUACAGUGUAGAAUGUUUCUUUUGCGGUCACACGCAAUCAAUACAACUUUCAACAACGGAUCUCUUGGCUCUCGCAUCGAUGAAGAACGCAGCGAAAUGCGAUACGUAAUGUGAAUUGCAGAAUUCAGUGAAUCAUCGAAUCUUUGAACGCACCUUGCGCCCCUUGGCAUUCCGAGGGGCACACCCGUUUGAGUGUCGUGAAAUCUUCAAAACCCUUUUUUCUUUGAACCAUUGUGGUCGGGAAAAGGACUUUUGGACUUGGAGGUUU
Molecule: unclassified non-coding RNA, 415 nt
Filed under: uncultured Russula
Lineage: Eukaryota; Fungi; Basidiomycota; Agaricomycetes; Russulales; Russulaceae
Description: sequence contains ITS1, 5.8S rRNA gene and ITS2
Rfam family: 5.8S ribosomal RNA (bases 192-345)
Source: RNAcentral